UGAUGGUGUUGUUGGAGGAUGUGGUGAUGGUGGUGUUGUUGGAGGAUGUGGUGAUGGUGGUGUUGUUGGAGGAUGUGGUGAUGGUGUUGUUGGAGGAUGUGGUGAUGGUGUUGUUGUUGGAGGAUGUGGUGAUGGUGUUGUUGUUGGAGGAUGUGGUCUGAUGGUGGUGUUGUUGGAGGAUGUGGUCUGAUGGUGGUGUUGUUGGAGGAUGUGGUCUGAUGGUGGUGUUGUUGGAGGAUGUGGUCUGAUGGUGGUUGUUGGAGGAUGUGGUCUGAUGGUGGUGUUGUUGGAGGAUGUGGUCUGAUGGUGGUGUUGUUGGAGGAUGUGGUCUGAUGGUGGUGUUGUUGGAGGAUGUGGUCUGAUGGUGGUGUUGGAGGAUGUGGUCUGAUGGUGGUGUUGGAGGAUGUGGUCUGAUGGUGGUGUUGUUGGAGGAUGUGGUCUGAUGGUGGUGUUGUUGGAGGAUGUGGGUGGUGUUGGAGGAUGUGGUCUGGUGUUGGAGGAUGUGGUCUGAUGGUGUUGGUGGUGUUGUUGGAGGAUGUGGUCUGAUUGUGUUGGAGGAUGUGGUCUGAUGGUGUUGAAGGAUGUGGUCUGAUGGUGUUGGUGGUGUUGUUGGAGGAUGUGGUGAUGGUGGUGUUGUUGGAGGAUGUGGUCUGAUGGUGUUGGUGGUGUUUUUGGAUGAUGUGGUCUGAUGGUGUUGGUGGUGUUGUUGGAGGAUGUGGUGUUGUUGGAGGAUGUGGUGAUGGUGGUUUUGUUGGAGGAUGUGGUCUGAUGGUGUUGGUGGUGUUGGAGGGAUGGUGUUGGUGGUGUUGGAGGAUGUGGUCUGAUGGUGUUGGUGUUGGAGGAUGUGGUGAUGGUGUUGGUGUUGUUGGAGGAUGUGGUGGUGUUGGUGGUGGUGUUGGAGGAUGUGGUGGUGUUGGUGGUGGUGUUGGAGGAUGUGGUCUGAUGGUGUUGGAGGAGGAUGUGGUCUGAUGGUGUUGGUGUUGUUGGAGGAUGUGGUCUGAUGGUGUUGGUGUUGUUGGAGGAUGUGGUCUGAUGGUGGUGGUGGUGUUGUUGGAGGAUGUGGUCUGAUGGUGUUGGUGGUGGUGUUGGAGGAUGUGGUCUGAUGGUGUUGGUGGUGUUGGAGGAUGUGGUCUGAUGGUGUUGGUGGUGUUGGAGGAUGUGGUCUGAUGGUGUUGGUGGUGUUGUUGGAGGAUGUGGUGUUGGUGGUGGUGUUGGAGGAUGUGGAUGUGGUGUUGGUGUUGGAGAUGGGGUCUGAUGGUGUUGGUGGUGUUGGAGGAUGUGGUCUGAUGGUGUUGCUGGUGUUGUCAUGUUUGUGUUCCAGAGAGGUUCUUUCUGCCGGUGUCGUUACCCCAGCCGCCUCUUCAACCCUCCUCCGUCCCCCCCAGUUCCACCCCCCAGAGUAGCUCCCGGGAGGGGGGCAGGGACCGAGACAUACUCUACCGCGAGGAGAGGGAGAGAGAGGAGCCUCAGGAGGGGGGCAGAGCCCGAGACAGACUCUACCGUGUGGCGAGGGAGAGAGAGGAGCCCCAGGAGGGGGGCAGGGACCGAGACAGACUCUGCUGUGAGGAGAGAGAGGAGCCUCAGGAGGGGGGCAGGGACCGAGACAGACUCUACCACGAGGAGAGAGAGGAGCCCCGGGAGGGGGGCAGAGACAGACUCUACCGCGAGGAGAGAGGGCGAGGCGAGAGGGAGCGGUCGAGAGAGGAGCCUCGUCCAUACAGUGUGGUAGAUCUGACACAGGAUGGGAGGAGUGGAGAGAGAGAACGCCACAGAGAACGAGAGACUGAGCGAGACAGAGACCGAGAGAGAGAGGUUCUCCUCCACCACCCCUCUGCUUCUCGACCCCCCAGGGCUCCUCCUCUUCUGGGCGUUACCCAGAGACUGAUGACACACCCACUCGCUCCCCCAACCCUAACCCCAGCCCCCACACACACACAGACAGGCUGAGGAAGACUGAAUCUACCUACAGCGGUGCACUCCUUCCUGGCCCCGCCUACCCUGCACACCGGGAGCCUAUCAGGGAACAGCGUGUGAGCGCGCCCACUUACGUGCCUUCUGUGGAGGUCUAUGAUGAGCAGGUCGGCCCGAUCCAGAUCGCAUCGCAGGCCAGGGACAAACAGGACAAACUGAAAGAGAGAGAGAAAGAGAGAGAGA
Long non-coding RNA from Oncorhynchus tshawytscha (Chinook salmon), 2154 nucleotides. NCBI's taxonomy places the organism in Eukaryota, Metazoa, Chordata, Actinopteri, Salmoniformes, Salmonidae. The record is from Ensembl.